AUGUGCUAAACUAUUAGCAAGAGUAGAAACUGCGGCAGUUAAGAAAUUGCAGCCUUCCAAAUAGGAACUGGCCAAUCCAUGGGUAUACCAUGAAGUUACAAAGGUUGUACCCGUGAACCAACCCCCCUACGGCGAAAUAGGCACAAGGAAAGAGCAAUAGGCCGGACCAGCCUACAAAAACGAAACGGUCCCUACGUAACCAGUCAUCCAUAAUAUCAAACAAAUCAUUUU
Long non-coding RNA from Helianthus annuus (common sunflower), 231 nucleotides. RefSeq lists it as uncharacterized. The transcript is spliced from 2 exons. The record is from RefSeq and is a predicted model, not a curated record. NCBI's taxonomy places the organism in Eukaryota, Viridiplantae, Streptophyta, Magnoliopsida, Asterales, Asteraceae.